CUAACAUAGAGUUCAAGGGUUUCCAUUUCUCCACAUCCUCCUUAGCUCUUAAUUUCCCUUCCUCCCUCCUUGCUUCCUUCCUUCCUCCCUUCCUUCUUUUUUCUGUUUUUUCUUGUGAUUCUACAGACAGAAGCUAGAGCCUUAGGCAUACUAGUCACCCACUCUACCGCACAAAUAUACGCUUGCCUCUCUUGGAUUUCAGAUAACACCAAUCUUACAGAAUUGCGGAUUUAAAGACAAUUUUGCCCAAUACAUGAUCAUGCAGUGAAACCAUUUUGAACUAGAGCAAGUGAUUUUAAAUUGAUCUAUUUUCCAUCACUGGACACAGUUGCCGAAACCUGUGCUUUAAGGGAAGAGUGUUUUGUUCUCCUCUGUUGCGAGUGAGGGAUCACGAUCUCAGAGGAUCCGACCCUACUACUCCGUCUCCAGGCAGGAAGGACACACAGGAAAUCGAGAGAGGAGAGCAGCUGGGAACAAGCACGCACCGUUCCCGGGCCGUCGCCAGGGAUCCAGCCCCGGACAGACCCCACCUCUGGG
RNAcentral lists this long non-coding RNA (537 nucleotides) under Fukomys damarensis (Damara mole-rat). RNAcentral's name for it is "lncRNA (ENSFDAG00000023371.1)". Lineage: Eukaryota; Metazoa; Chordata; Mammalia; Rodentia; Bathyergidae. The record is from RNAcentral.